ACAAAGGCUCUUUUAAGAGCCACAGCAACUCUUCACAAGGGCUUCUU
Non-coding RNA from Takifugu rubripes (torafugu), 47 nucleotides. The record is from Rfam. NCBI's taxonomy places the organism in Eukaryota, Metazoa, Chordata, Actinopteri, Tetraodontiformes, Tetraodontidae.